AAGCAUGUUCAUGAUUAAACCUGUAUGCUGGCUUAUUUGAGUGACUUCUCUCUGAUUGCAGUUUCCUCAGUCCUAUUCUCCUCUUCCUUUUUUUUUUUUUUUUUUCUUUUUUCUUCCCUUUCCUUCCUUUCUUUUGGUUUAGAGAAGCCCUUUCAAUAUUUCCUUUAACCUGGGUUUUGUAUUGCUGUAUUCCUUAAGUUUUUGUUUGUUGGGAAAAAUUUUUAUUUCCCCUUCUAUUUUAAAUGAUAUUCUUGCUGGAUAGUGUAUUCUAGGUUGCAUGUUUUUUCCUUUGAGCACUUUAAAUAUCUCUUGCCAUUCCCUCCUGGCCUGUAGUGUUUCUGUAGAGAAAUCAGCUGAUAUUCUUAUGGGGGUUCCCUUGUAGGUAACAUUCUGUUUUUCUCUUGCUGCCUUUAGGCUCCUCUCUCUAUCACUAACUUUUGCCAUUUUUAUUAUGAUGUGUCUUGGUGUGGGUCUGUUUGGGUUCAGUUUGUUUGGGGCCCUCUGUGCUUCUUGUAUCUUGAACCCAGUAUCCUUUAGAUUUGGGAAGUUUCCAUCGAUAAUUUCUUCAACUAUAUUUUCCAUCCCCUUAUCUUUUUCUACUCCUUCUGGAAUUCCUAUUAUGCGUAGAUUGGCCCGCUUUAUAUUAUCCCAUAGGUCUCUUAUAUUGCUUUCCAGUUUUUUGAUUCGGUUUUCUGUCUGUUGACCAGAUUGAGUGAUUUCCAUUAUUCUAUCUUCCAUAUCACUGACUUGUUCUUCUGCAUUAUUCAUUCUGGUUUUUACUGCUCCUAGUUCAGUUUGCAUCUCUGCAAAUGAAUGUUCUAGUUUUUCUUGGCUCCUCCUUAUAUUUUCUAGUUCCUUUCUGAGGGUAUCUGCAUUACUGUUCAUAUCUUCUCUUAAUUCCUUCAGUAUUUUUACUAUUUCCUCUUUUGAACUCCAGGUCUGUCUGACUGCAGAGAUGUGUUUCAUUGGUGACUGUUUUAGGUGAGUUCUCCUGUUGCUUUGACUGGGGGUGGUUUCUCAGCUUCUUCAUCUUGCUUGUUGUUUUCUUUCUCCUGAGGGAGUUGUACUCUCCAUGACUGGGCAGUGUUUGCCUUGUCACUGCCGUGGAAUAUUUCCUGAGGGCUGGCGUUGUUGGUCAAUCUUUUUUGAGGCAGUGUGGCUUUUCUGGAGUGUUGAUGGGGCUAACAGUGUUUCUUUGAAGCAAAGGAGGACUUCCUGAGGGCAGACAGGACUGGGAGGUCCACACCACGAUGGUAGCUGAUUUCACUUGGUCAUGCAGAGCUUGCUCUGGAGUUUUUAGGCUGUGGGGUUCUUGCAGGGGGUUGGCGGUGUUGGGCAACUGCUCUUCAGGGGUGCAUCACCCCCCGGGGGCUGGAGCAGCUAUCUGGGUCACUGAGAACCUAAGAGGCUCUUCCCUAGGGCAGCCCAACUCAGAAGGACAGCCUGAGAAUGUAGGCGGAUCUUUUCACAGUCUGGCUGAGCUUGUUGCAGCUUUUCUGGGCUGCAGGGGCUCUUCCAGGGGGCUGGUGGUGCUGAGCAGUUAUUUCACAGGAGUGGGGCACCCCCUGGGGGCUUGGGCGGGUAGCAGGGCCUUUGGAGACCCAAGAGGCUCCUCCCCAGGGCAGCCCAACUCAGAAAAACCGCCUGAGAUCUUUCCCCAACUCGGCCAGGCUUGUUGCAGCUUUUCUGGGCUGCAGGGGGUCCUUCCUAGAGCUGGCAGUCCUAUGCAGCUGGUUCACUAGAGCAUCCCCUGGGGUCUUGGGCGGGUAGCAGGGCCGUUGGCCCAAGAGGCUCCUCCCUGGGGCAACCUGACUCAGAAAAACCGUCUGAGAAUUAGGCCGAUCUAUUCACAGCCUGGCUAAGCUUGUUUUAGCUUUUCUGGGCUGCAGGCCUUUUCUUGGGGGCUGGUGGUGUUUGGUGCUGCUCUGCGGAAGUGUGGCCACUCCAAGGGGCAAGCAGGCCUGUGCAGGGACAGCCCCUGCGGUGGUAGGCUUCAGGCAAUUGUUGAGGCCAGCCCUCCUGGAUGGCAGGCAGCCCCAGGUCCUUGAGAGCGUAGGGCGUGGCGGGGGGGGGUGGGGGGAGGGGAUGCACUGGGAAGCAGAGCUUUCAGCUAGCUAGCGGGCCUGUAAGCUUGCUGUGGUGUGGGGGGUAUUCUAUGGGGACCCACCCCUUCUUUUCUCCCCUCCUCAGCACGGGCGCAGACCAGGCUCUUCUCCCAGGUUCCCUCUGAUGUGGCUUUCCACUUCCCCGCCCCUGGAGUAUUGCUCCCUUCCUCUGUGACAGCUUUGUUUUCUAGUCUCCCAGGCAGUCUCUGCCCUGUCAACUGGUUUCUAGACCUCCCAAGCAGUUUCCGCUCUGCCCCGCCCCCCUAGCCUGGGGACUAAUCUCUGGAGCCGAGGUCUCAGUGCCCAGCCCCCAUCCAGGCGUAGCCUGUCCCUUUCUCGGGGAUUAACCUUCUGCAGCGAGGUCUCGGUGCCCAGCCCCCACCCAGGCGUCUCAAUUUUUGGUGACUGUGCCCGUAGUUCAGAUGGUCCGUUGAGUUCUUGAUCAGCUUUUCCGUACUCCAACUUACUGCUAUACUCUUCUCUGCAUCUGGAGAUUCCUCCGGUUCGUUUGAUCUUUCGCCCGGUAGGUGACUUUCCAGGGUGCGGGAUCCCUUUCUCCUCUGCAGUUCCCUUUCGGGAGCGCCCGUCCUGCUCGGAUUCACCUUCUCUCACUCUCCUCUUUUCUCCCGUUCUGCCCAGUAAUGUCACGAACUUCUUGCCGUUAUUGGAGUUUAGGUUCCUCUGCCAGCGAUUGGUUGCUGUUCUGUGCGAGUCAUUUAUUCUGUAGAUGUGCUUUUUUUGUUGUGUUUGUGGGUGAGGGCGAGCGUGUCCCCCUACUCCUCCGCCAUCUUGUCCUCUUCCAGGAAUUUCAUUUAUCUUACUUCAUAACUCAGUAUGACUCCAAGUAGGACACCAUGAAAAAUGAUAAACAGAAAUAUUCACUCUUAAAAUUCUACUCCAUGUUAGCCAAGGUCAGCCCGCCUGGACAGACUACCAGGCACAGGACAAGGCACAGAGCCUUGGUGUGUGUGGAUACCCUUUGUGAAUAUCCAGUCUUCCUUGGGAGGACUUACUCUAAGAGAAAGAGCAGCAGCUACUGAAAGCCAAGAGAUCCCUGGCGUUGUUGGAAGGCCUUGGUGCUGCUGAGAGCUGGCCUGCCAUUCGCAGCUAGGCUGUGGUAUUAUCCUACUGAACAGAAAUAAUUUCAGAGCAUGCCAAAACCAGAGAAGGCUACUCUGUGACUUUGUUGGAUCAAGGAAAAAAAAAAAAAACAAAAACAAAAACAAAAAAAAAAAAAACAAAAAAAAACCUUCUGUAACCAUAUCUUAAUGGACAGAAAUAAGAACUUACCCAAAUGAUAAAAAAAGACCAGAUGUUAUCCUAGUUUGGCUAAUAUGAGUAACUACUGCCUUUUAACCAAUUAUAGCUUUAGCUGCACUCACCUCUCCCUACUUCAUAGAAAAUAAUUAUUAAGAUGCCCAAAGAAUUCAAACAAUUAUUGUCACUUCUUGAUAGCAACAAUCAAUCCAGAGCAAAAGCCCUGCUCCCUUGAACUGUCCCUAAAAUUACCAAAGACAUGUCCAAAUCUUCAAGUCCUUUCUUACAUCCUUUUACUGAGAUGCUCCCAUGGUUUCUCACAGUGCGUGUUCUCCCUCAUAACAGGUGAAUGAAAGCAAUUGUGUUACCCCACAAAUGUGUUCCAGGAGGUUUUUGGCUGGAGAUUUGAUAAGUCUUUAGCAUGAGCAUUUGGGGACCAAAGGAAAGUUAGAACAACACUCACUAGAAAAGAUAGAUAUAUGCAAAGAACAGAGAAGUAAAUUAGCAGCAAUAGAGAUUACUCCAAGUUGCAGAAAAAAAGGGAGAUUGAUUUGGAAAGAGGGAGAAACAUUGCUAGAACAACUUAUGAAGAAAGGACUUGGGAAAAUAGAUACAGGGCACCAUGGGAUGUGGAGGUUGGUGGUGGUGAGAGAUGAGAGUGGGAAUAAUUUAUCCAUACCUUCAUUCACUUAUUCAGUCCAUCAGUAAGGAUUUACUGAGUGCCAACUAUGUGCUGGGCACUGGGCACUGAAAAUGCAAUGACAAACAAGAGAAAGAUACUAUUUCUGCUUUUCUGGAUCUCAUAAUUGAGUGAUAGUAAGUAGAGGUUAUCUGACAUUAAAGUAAUGAAUAUUACCAGAUAAUUACAGAGAUAAGAAUUGCCCAUGAAGAAUCUGGAGAAUCUGUGAGGCCCUGAGAAAUUACACUGUGAUGGGAAGGCCAUAGGUGGCUUUGGGAGGAGGUCCUAAGAAUGAGUAAAAGCCAGCCAGGUGAAGAGAUGGUGGAAGAAUAACCCAGGUAGAGAGAAGGAUAUUUGGGAAAACUUUGUAGUAUGAAAUAAUAUGAUAAAUAUAAAAGCAAGAAGUAAGCCCUGGAAUAUGACAGUGGUAUAUUCUGUAUGAGAGAGUAAGAGGUAAAUGGCGGUGAGAAUGCAGACUAUUUUAGGGCAAGGAUUGGCAAAGUAUAGUUUGUGAGUCAAACCCAACCAAUUGCUUGUGUAUAUGUGAAGCUUUAUUUAAAGGACUACUGUCACCUAUUUAUUUACAUGUUAUUUUUGACUAUUUUUUUCAUUAUAGUAACAGUGUUGAAAAGUAGCAACAGAAACUAUAUAGCUGGAGUUCCUGUCAUGGCUCAGCGGUGAGCGAACCUGAUUAGCAUCCAAGAGGAUGUGAGUUCAAUCCCUGGCCUCGCUCAGUGGGCUAAGGAUCUGGCAUUGCUGUGAGCUGUGGUGUAGGUCGCAGACAUGGCUCGGAUCCUGAGUUGCUGUGGCUGUGGUGUAGGCUGAUGGCUACAGCUCCAAUUUGACCCCUAGCCUGUGAACCUCCAUGUGCCAUGAGUGCGGCUCUAAAAAGACAAAAAGACCAAAAAAAGAAAAAAAAAGAAAAAAAAAAAAGAAGAAACUAUAUAGCCAAGAAAGCCUAAAAUAUUUAUGAUCUAGUCCCUUAGAGGAAAAAAUACCUCAGUCUGUAAUGUGGUGAUCUCAUUAAACAGAGGGCGGCUGGAUGGACCAAUUAUGAGGCAAUGGCAGUAGUUUAGGUGAGAGAUGAAGUUGUUGUAGCAUAUGGAGGAGGUGGUGAAGGUGCAGAGAAAUGUGAUGAAUUGGAUAUGUGAAAUACGUGAGAUGGAAGAGGAGAGAAGUCAGGGAAGAUGUGGCUUCUGGCUUGAACAACUAGAGAGAAGAUAAUGGCAUUUUCUGAGGUAGAGGAUGUUCAAAUAAGGACCAGUAUUUUGUUAAUUUAUUUUUACAUAAAUUUUUACAUAAGGAAGAAGAUUAUGAGUUAAGUUUGGGUAUAUCAAUUUCAAAGUCACUUUGAGAGGCCCAAGAGAAGAUGCUCAUUGGACACUGGAUGUACCUU
Molecule: long non-coding RNA, 5437 nt
Filed under: Sus scrofa (pig)
Lineage: Eukaryota; Metazoa; Chordata; Mammalia; Artiodactyla; Suidae
Description: lncRNA (ENSSSCG00000041232.2)
Source: RNAcentral